This 70-nucleotide transfer RNA is filed under the name Stichopus horrens (warty sea cucumber). RNAcentral describes it as "tRNA-Thr". It matches the Rfam family "tRNA". Rfam says of the family: Transfer RNA (tRNA) molecules are approximately 80 nucleotides in length. Their secondary structure includes four short double-helical elements and three loops (D, anti-codon, and T loops). Lineage: Eukaryota; Metazoa; Echinodermata; Holothuroidea; Aspidochirotida; Stichopodidae. RNAcentral also lists the same sequence under 1 other name. The record is from RNAcentral.
GCCGCGAAAGUUUAGGAAAAACGGCCAAUCUUGUAAAUUGGAAAUGGAAGUUAAACUCUUCCUUGCGGCC